GUCCGCGCGCGCGGGGCGGCCGCGGCGGUGAGCCUGCGCGUCAGGGCCGCCGGCCUCUCCUUGGCUGUUGGAGGUGAUAGGGGUCGAGGGGAGGGAAAAAGGGGCUGGCGUCAGCCGCCCCUGUGAGGUGGCCGUAGCGUGGACGAGUAAGAAGGGUUGAGUAAAGUGGACAAACACCUGGUUAGGAGAAGAGGGCAGGCCCGCAGCCGCCCUCCGGAGGAGGACUCGGGGCCUCGCGGGCGCCGGAGGAGGUUCCUGGGCCUCGGAGGGCCGCCCCGGCGCGCCGCCCCGGCGCGAGCGGGCGCGGGCGGGGGAGGGGAAGUGAGAGGUUGUUUAUGACCGGGGACUAAUCUCCUCCGCGAGUCCCAGCGCUCCCUCUGGGGAGUGCGGUUGAGGGGCUGUCCUCGCACGGAGCCUCGCUCGGCCUCGGGGGAGCCACGAGAGGUGGGAGUUGGACCCGCAGCGGGCCAGGAGCCCUGUCAUUGGAGGACCCGCCAAAAAGGAAGCAAACCCUCUUUUUCUUUAUCCAACCCCAAAUAGCUAGGGCCUAGGGGGAAGACUCACAUAUCGAUAAAUGGUUUGUUGCCCGUUUUAUUCUCUGGGAAAUACAACUGAUCUUACCAAAGAAAUAACCUGUCUCUUGCCGUGUUUACUUAGAGCCAUAGAAUACCUGUUUCAGAGCUGAAGGGGACCUGAGCCCAUGAUAAUCCAUUACCUCGUGAGAAAGCGGAAAAACUGACUUCAGCUUGCCCAGAUGGCGCAGAGAAUGGGUUUCCCGUAACCCCGCCUGUGUCUUUCCUUCAGCCUCGUCCCAAAUGCCGUGGGAGGGAAGGCACUCUCUGUCAAGCUGCUGUCACCUUACCUGAAGUAAGGAGUCCACGCCUGCAUGUCCGAGGAAAACAGUUUUCUCAAACACAUUAGUUGAAAAACUGAAGACGCUGCCUAAAAUACAAGCUGAGUUAGAGACAGCCCUUGUAAGACUAGAAAAAGAAAUGGAAACUAAGUAACAUGAAUUAACAUAGUCCAGGGUCACAAAGCAACAUGGAACAAGAACCUGGAUCUGAAUUCAGAGGCAGAAUGCUGGGAAAGGCCUUGUGAGGACAUAACCAGGAAGAGAGUCCUCACCAGAACCUGACCAUACCUGCACCCUGAUCUCAAGCUUCCAGCUUCCAGAACCAUGAGAAAUCAAUGUUUGUUGUUUUAGCCACCCAGUCUACAGAAAUUUGUUAUAGCCACCCUAGCUGACUACCACAUUGGACAUCACAGCAAACACUACAACCACAAGUCCAGUUGGCUCCACAAGCUUGAGCUCACCAUUUCUCACCAGCUCCACCGCUACCUCCAAAUAAAAGAAAUGGCUGAAAUCCUUUGGAACCAAUAUGACCAACUGGAGUCGGUGCAGAAGGAGCUUGCUGACAACGCAGCCUGAAUUUCCACCCUAUGUUUCAUACCAACUCCCCCUGAAUUUGCACAUGUGAUACAUGAGAUAGCAUGAAGAGAUAACUGAGCAUGCCCAAGGACUUUCCAGACUUCUGCUUUCCUUCCACCAAUCACCUGCUAAUCUCAGAAUCCACCCCCUGAAACUUUUCUAAUAAAAA
RNAcentral lists this long non-coding RNA (1598 nucleotides) under Homo sapiens (human). RNAcentral's name for it is "non-protein coding INTS6-AS1:53". The record is from RNAcentral. Lineage: Eukaryota; Metazoa; Chordata; Mammalia; Primates; Hominidae.